CGGGGUGUAGCUCAGCCAGGUUAGAGCGCGUGGUUUGGGACCACGAGGGCGGCGGUUCAAAUCCGCCCACCCCGACCA
RNAcentral lists this transfer RNA (78 nucleotides) under Chloroflexota bacterium. RNAcentral's name for it is "tRNA-Pro". It matches the Rfam family "tRNA". Rfam says of the family: Transfer RNA (tRNA) molecules are approximately 80 nucleotides in length. Their secondary structure includes four short double-helical elements and three loops (D, anti-codon, and T loops). The record is from RNAcentral. Lineage: Bacteria; Bacillati; Chloroflexota.